UACGUAGGGUGCAAGCGUUGUCCGGAAUUAUUGGGCGUAAAGAGCUCGUAGGCGGUCUGUCGCGUCGGAUGUGAAAACCCAGGGCUCAACCCUGGGCCUGCAUUCGAUACGGGCAGUCUAGAGUUCGGUAGGGGAGACUGGAAUUCCUGGUGUAGCGGUGAAAUGCGCAGAUAUCAGGAGGAACACCGGUGGCGAAGGCGGGUCUCUGGGCCGAAACUGACGCUGAGGAGCGAAAGCGUGGGGAGCAAACAGG
This 253-nucleotide ribosomal RNA is filed under the name uncultured bacterium. RNAcentral's name for it is "partial 16S ribosomal RNA". It matches the Rfam family "Bacterial small subunit ribosomal RNA", at positions 524 to 776 of the family's 1533-position model. The record is from RNAcentral.